GCGGCGAUAGCUCAGUUGGGAGAGCGUUAGACUGAAGAUCUAAAGGUCCCUGGUUCGAUCCCGGGUCGCCGCG
Molecule: non-coding RNA, 73 nt
Organism: Eimeria mitis
Lineage: Eukaryota; Apicomplexa; Conoidasida; Eucoccidiorida; Eimeriidae
Source: Rfam